CAUCAAUCAGCGAUACUUCGAUAUCCGAGGGAAAUACCUGAAGGCCCUCUAAUGAAGGCCAUUGGGGCCCACAGGUACUGAACUGAAAACGGGCAACUUGAAUAAAUACAGCGUGUCAGGCGUGACCUAAGCGAUCUCGCCAGGCUCAGC
Long non-coding RNA from Brienomyrus brachyistius, 150 nucleotides. RefSeq lists it as uncharacterized. Lineage: Eukaryota; Metazoa; Chordata; Actinopteri; Osteoglossiformes; Mormyridae. The transcript has 3 exons. The record is from RefSeq and is a predicted model, not a curated record.